CCGAAUGAUACUAGCAGGAGAGAUCUGGGUGGUCCAGACGCCGAAGGAGAAAAUCUCUUGAAGUCGCUUUUCAAGAGGGGAAACUCUCAGGCAAAGGUACGGCUAGUAGACGGUACUCUGGAGAGUUUCUCUAAGCAGAGAACACCAAAGGGGAAGUCGGAGACGGCGAAUCUCUCAGGUUAAAGGACAGAGAA
Non-coding RNA from Desulfosporosinus acidiphilus SJ4, 194 nucleotides. The record is from Rfam. NCBI's taxonomy places the organism in Bacteria, Bacillati, Bacillota, Clostridia, Eubacteriales, Desulfitobacteriaceae.